UGACUUCCCUUUCGGGCCAGCCGCCUCGC
RNAcentral lists this small RNA (29 nucleotides) under Bombyx mori (domestic silkworm). RNAcentral's name for it is "ovarian small RNA-32054". Lineage: Eukaryota; Metazoa; Arthropoda; Insecta; Lepidoptera; Bombycidae. The record is from RNAcentral.